Molecule: ribosomal RNA, 255 nt
Filed under: uncultured bacterium
Lineage: Bacteria
Description: partial 16S ribosomal RNA
Rfam family: Bacterial small subunit ribosomal RNA
Source: RNAcentral
CGGACGGGUGAGUAACGCGUGGAAAACCUGCCGUAUACUGGGGGAUAACACUUAGAAAUAGGUGCUAAUACCGCAUAAGCGCACAGCUUCGCAUGAAGCGGUGUGAAAAACUCUGGUGGUAUACGAUGGUCCCGCGUCUGAUUAGCUAGUUGGUGGGGUAAUGGCCUACCAAGGCAACGAUCAGUAGCCGGCCUGAGAGGGUGAACGGCCACAUUGGGACUGAGACACGGCCCAAACUCCUACGGGAGGCAGCAG